GGUUCAUUCAAAUUUCUGCCCUAUCAACUUUCGAUGGUAGGAUAGUGGCCUACCAUGGUUUCAACGGGUAACGGGGAAUUAGGGUUCUAUUCCGGAGAAGGAGCCUGAGAAACGGCUACUACAUCCAAGGAAGGCAGCAGGCGCGCAAAUUACCCAAUCCCGACCGGGGAGGUAGUGACAAUAAAUACUGAUACAGGGGGCUUCUGCUUCUUGUAAUUGGAAUGAGUACAAUUUAAAUCUCUUAACGAGGAACAAUUGGAGGGCAAGUCUGGUGCCAGCAGCCGCGGUAAUUCCAGCUCCAAUAGCGUAUAUUAAAGUUGUUGCAGUUAAAAAGCUCGUAGUUG
This 344-nucleotide ribosomal RNA is filed under the name uncultured fungus. RNAcentral describes it as "SSU rRNA". It matches the Rfam family "Eukaryotic small subunit ribosomal RNA", at positions 292 to 636 of the family's 1831-position model. Lineage: Eukaryota; Fungi. The record is from RNAcentral.